UGCAGGGCAAUAUGUCUACAUCUGUUCCACUUGGAUAAAGCUGAAUCUGUUCGAUAGUUGUACCCAAACACUGAUGAGGUACCCAACGCAAUCAGCAAAUUGCUACAGACCACGCAUCCUCAAGAAAAGAGAUAUUAGCUUUCCAACAAACAAAUAUGUUUGAUACAGGAAAAGCAACUGCGUCAAUCUAAAAAGGUAAGACGCAUAGUAAACAUCGCAUCGCCUAUGUCUCGCCUUUGCAUUUGCGGAAAUCGUAUCUCCGGACAGGCUUAGUGGUACCUGUUUCUAGAUAGGACAACUAGACGAAAUUUUACACAUCCGAAACCGAACGAUUACUAGGCAACGACGAUGUGAUCACUGCCUCUUCCCAUGCUAUGUGUUUUUAUUCAAGCCAGCUUCAUAUUCACAUGAGUAUGAAGCUGGCCAGAAUAAACUUCAUGGAGCGCGUACAAGUUUGAGCGAAACAACGGUCACAGCAGUAGCACGAGUGCCUCAUUCAGUCGGACAUUCGCAUGAGGAGUAUGAACUGGCGAACGAUUGGAGAUCGAUCGAUCUCGUCGCCAAAAAAUAGAGCAGGACAGCAAGGUCCCGUCGGCAGAUCUAAAAACUUUGGUCAGAUUCGUUCUAUGAUUAGAGCGAGAACUACGAAUCAUACUAAACCUUUUCGACCAGUUGAAAUAGCAAGUAGCUAUUAAAACGAAGUUUCAAUGUGCUAGUUAUUCUCCAGAGACGUCUUGAGAUAUGGAGGGAGUAUAAGGGAGAACGACGGAGAUAUAUGGAGAACGGAUGUCAGUAUUUCUCGUCAAGUUCCUUCCCCAACCAGUUCGCUGUAUUUGGAGAGCCUGUUCCCGCCCGCCCUGCGCUGGCGUGUUUGGUUCCUCCCAUCUUCUCAACAGUAUGUUAAUUGUACCUUGGAGUUGUAAGCAAGAUGUUGUUAAUAAUAAUCAUUAGUACUAUUCGGGUUAAUGUUGAUGAAGCAACUACGUUGAUGCCAAACGUCUACCCUAGUCGUAUCCACGAUGAAGGCGGCGGCAUAACAAGUGUUCCACAAGCUCUAAUGAACUAAUGCCCAACACGAACACAGGCAUUCUCUUACUGGGUGGGUCAAGGAAGGCAAGCGCGACUCGACCUGCGUCGUCUGCUGGACCUUAGAUUGAAACGAAACUAACUAGUGCACUGUAGAAAGGAAAAGCCUCUGCUAUAGUGCUAUAGCAAAUGUGAUACGCUGUGUCGUAAAGCACGAGUGUGUUCCAAGACGCAUUGAAAAAACAAUCUCCUACGACUGACUGGUCAGCUCAUGUGAUACGUAUGGCAGCACGAAGGAAUUAGACGACCUUUGCCGAACAGCCAGAGCUAUUAACGACAUCAUGGAGUACGCUUGUUUUCGUCUUGCCAGUGAAGUAUCUUCGAAGCAACGAUGUUGCCAGGCCAUUUCUCAUGCUCUGUAUGUUUCCUAUAGAGUAUAUAAGGGUAACGGAAACAAAUGAUCAGCAUAAAUUCAUUCCGUUGAACCAAACUACGUAUCUCGGCCUAAUCAGCAGCGCCAAAGGUCCUUAUUUGAAACGAAAUACCAAAUUUAUGUUGAGCGCAAGCAAAGACAGUCCAUUGUUGACUUGCUAUAUAUAAAGCUUUGUAGGUGAGGGCUCUGAACGACUGAUCUAAUUUAACGGUAAUUUCAAUUAAUUAUCACAAGUCGAAAGUUAUCCUUGACUUUAUUCUCCGUCGCUGUGUUUACCGUAGAAUAAAUGUGAAAGUACCCAAAACGGAUAGCCACCAGGAAGUCCUAACUUCAGCCAGGUCCAUGUUUCGAAACGUCCCGGCCAGAUGAUAAAAGUAUCUUUCAAAAAAAGGUCACGUGAAAGGGCAGGGCGACUCACAAAAGUGUAUACUGUCGGAACUAAACAGUUGAGUUUCAACAAUGAAAAAGAACUUCGUUACGGCUAACUUGGGACCCGUUUGAGCAGCGGGUCUAUAGCCGCUCCCAAGGGCGCCACUCACCGGCCGAGACGGCUUGAAGAUAACGAAUGAAACCUCUGUCCCGCGCUGCGCUGCGCCGCACCGCAAUAUAACGUUGCCGACGCUGGCGUUGCCGUUUGUGAGCGAUAACUGUAUUGUUCUGUGUUGAUGAUAACCGACUGGACGACUACCAGCUACGCACGUAUAAGCCUGAUGCUGUUCGAAGCAAUCGGAGAAUAAGUAUAUGCGUCUCAAUGAUGCCAUGGAGGGUAAAUCUUCUUCCGCAAAUUCUGUUCACAUCCUCUACAGGUUCAAUUAUGCGUAUCGCGCCCACCGAACUCGAUCUCAACGUCGUAACGACCGAAACUGCAAAAACAGCUAUUGGCGCUUGUCUGCUCUAUCCUUCAAUGGCCUUCGAUCUCAAUAGGCCUGCGCGUUUUCGUUUGUAUGCGCUUGCUGCCCCAGGGAGAAUGCGAGGCCUCCAUAGUUUUUCCCAUAUGGCCUGGCACCAAUCGGGCACUCUUCCGCAUAUGGCUCUACAAUAGGUCAACCAAUACGCACAUUCGUUCAUACAAUGAAUGAUCUCUGUAGCUGAGAUGGCCUAACGGUGACAGUGGCCGCUACUGCAGUGACGGUAAACGUGGUAUCAGCUACAGCAAGCAAAUGGUCUGCUGACGACGGUGUCGACAACGCAAACGACGACAGCAGCGCGAACCAACGACUCUUUAUCAAGUAAUGGCCCGAGCGAGCACAAAGACACGCAUAGACAUUACACAUACGGAGGCACGCAGACGCAAAUGCACAGGCACAUAUCAUGCAUUUACGUCGCGACGUGCACGGUUUUCCGAUGUUCCAAAGGUAAAGAACCGCCGGGAGCUACAGGAUAUGAGGGUACAGAGAGAAAGUGAAAGAGGAGAAUGGGGGGUAGAGGCGCGACACAAACAGGAAGAGAGCAUGAAUCAACAAGAGAAUCGUGCAAUGAGAAGAGGGAGUAUUAGAGCGCCUGGGGAGAACGGUAGUAGAUACCCCCCACUGGUCUGGGCGAUCCAGCUAGGGUUUCAUUAUUAUGGAAUGCAUGGGGCAAACCGCAUUUGCCUAACCAAAUACUGUGAACUGAAACCAAGUGGAACAUAGACAGAUAUACAUGGAGGCAAUAGCCAAUCGACAUAGCAAACAGCACGAAAGCGGAUGCCCAUUGAUGGGCAUUUGUUCUUCUAACAUAUUGUCAAAAGAACAAGAAACGUCUAAGGACCCAACUGUGUAACUGUAACUUACCUGCGAUUCAACUUGGCGUACGGCACUGACCUAAGUAACUAGAUUAGCAUCUAAGUGAACACAAACCGCUUCC
Long non-coding RNA from Varroa destructor (honeybee mite), 3304 nucleotides. RefSeq lists it as uncharacterized. The record is from RefSeq and is a predicted model, not a curated record. Lineage: Eukaryota; Metazoa; Arthropoda; Arachnida; Mesostigmata; Varroidae.